RNAcentral lists this ribosomal RNA (375 nucleotides) under uncultured eukaryote. Its description in RNAcentral is "partial 18S ribosomal RNA". It matches the Rfam family "Eukaryotic small subunit ribosomal RNA", at positions 592 to 976 of the family's 1831-position model. The record is from RNAcentral.
CAAUAGCGUAUAUUUAAGUUGUUGCAGUUAAAAAGCUCGUAGUUGGAUUUCGGUUAAGAGCGACCGGUCCGCCGUUUGGUGUGCACUGGUUGGUUUUAACUUCCUGUAGAGGACGUGCUCUGGGUUUAACGACCUGGACUCGGAGUCUACGUGGUUACUUUGAAAAAAUUAGAGUGUUCAAAGCGGGCUUACGCUUGAAUAUUUCAGCAUGGAAUAACACUAUAGGACUCCUGUCCUAUUUCGUUGGUCUCGGGACGGGAGUAAUGAUUAAGAGGAACAGUUGGGGGCAUUCGUAUUUCAUUGUCAGAGGUGAAAUUCUUGGAUUUAUGAAAGGCGAACUUCUGCGAAAGCAUUUGCCAAGGAUGUUUNCAUUAA